GACAGAGGGUGCAAACGUCGCUCGGAAUUACUGGGCGUAAAGCGCGUGUAGGCGGGCGAGCAAGUCAGGUGUGAAAUCCCCGAGCUCAACUCGGGAACUGCACUUGAAACUGCUCGUCUCGAGUACCGGAGAGGAUCGUGGAAUUCCUGGUGUAGAGGUGAAAUUCGUAGAUAUCAGGAGGAACACCGGUGGCGAAGGCGGCGAUCUGGACGGUCACUGACGCUGAGACGCGAAAGCGUGGGGAGCAAACAGG
This 253-nucleotide ribosomal RNA is filed under the name uncultured bacterium. Its description in RNAcentral is "partial 16S ribosomal RNA". It matches the Rfam family "Bacterial small subunit ribosomal RNA", at positions 524 to 776 of the family's 1533-position model. The record is from RNAcentral.